Molecule: ribosomal RNA, 253 nt
Filed under: uncultured bacterium
Lineage: Bacteria
Description: partial 16S ribosomal RNA
Rfam family: Bacterial small subunit ribosomal RNA
Source: RNAcentral
UACGUAGGGUGCGAGCGUUGUCCGGAAUUAUUGGGCGUAAAGAGCUUGUAGGCGGUUUGUCGCGUCUGCCGUGAAAAUCCGGGGCUCAACCCCGGACUUGCGGUGGGUACGGGCAGACUAGAGUGUGGUAGGGGAGACUGGAAUUCCUGGUGUAGCGGUGAAAUGCGUAGAUAUCGAGAGGAACACCUGCGGCGAAGGCGGGUUGCUGGGCCGACACUGACGCUGAGGCGCGAAAGCUAGGGGAGCGAACGGG